UAAUCCUCAAUGCUGGGGGUCGUGACCUC
RNAcentral lists this small RNA (29 nucleotides) under Bombyx mori (domestic silkworm). Its description in RNAcentral is "ovarian small RNA-19651". Lineage: Eukaryota; Metazoa; Arthropoda; Insecta; Lepidoptera; Bombycidae. The record is from RNAcentral.